This 468-nucleotide ribosomal RNA is filed under the name uncultured bacterium. Its description in RNAcentral is "partial 16S ribosomal RNA". It matches the Rfam family "Bacterial small subunit ribosomal RNA", at positions 28 to 507 of the family's 1533-position model. The record is from RNAcentral.
GACGAACGCUGGCGGCGUGCUUAACACAUGCAAGUCGAACGGAAAGGCCCUGCUUUUGUGGGGUGCUCGAGUGGCGAACGGGUGAGUAACACGUGAGUAACCUGCCCUUGACUUUGGGAUAACUUCAGGAAACUGGGGCUAAUACCGGAUAGGAGCUCCUGCUGCAUGGUGGGGGUUGGAAAGUUUCGGCGGUUGGGGAUGGACUGGCGGCUUAUCAGCUUGUUGGUGGGGUAGUGGCUUACCAAGGCUUUGACGGGUAGCCGGCCUGUGAGGGUGGCCGGCCACAUGGGGACUGAGAUACGGCCCAGACUGCUACGGGAGGCAGCAGUGGGGAGUAUUGCACAAUGGGCGGAAGCCUGAUGCAGCAACGCCGCGUGCGGGAUGACGGCCUUCGGGUUGUAAACCGCUUUCGCCUGUGACGAAGCGUGAGUGACGGUAAUGGGUAAAGAAGCACCGGCUAACUACGUG